CAGAUCAGGGCUCCAUUUAGCAUGAAAAGAGGGUCUUCCACUGUUGCUCAUGUGAACGCUGCCAACAGCUUAAAAGAUUUUGCUCUGGUGGGAAGAACAUGGGCCAUGAUUGAAGGACUAUGAUUGCAGCACUGCUGUCAUCUACUUAGCUGAAGCAGCAGUAAUCACACACACGACAUGUAACAGGCAGAGUGCUGCUCUCCCAGCUCCCAGUUAGCAGUAGAAUGAGUGGGCUGACUGGAGGAGUCAGCAUGUGGACCCAUCUGCUUUGAUCAUGACACACUCCUGGAAAGCACUGAAAGUGAAGAGCAUCUACUUCCCUGCAGAUGAAGGAGCUAAGAGCCAAGUUUCAGCCUCAUUUCACUGAGGCUUUCAUUGUUAAGACGGCAUUUUCAGCAGGAGAAUAAUAAUUUUGUUGAAAAAUGUUCUGUUGGGAAAACCAAUAUGAAAAAUCCAAGUCUAUCCACCCAGAAGACAAUUGUUAUUACUGCUUCAGUGAUGCAGGGAUUUCCAGGCUGACCAUCAGAAAAAUAGUUCUGAGUUUGAUUCUCUCCUAUGGAUUAAUGUCCAAGACAACC
Passer domesticus (house sparrow) is the source of this 578-nucleotide long non-coding RNA. RefSeq lists it as uncharacterized. The transcript has 3 exons. NCBI's taxonomy places the organism in Eukaryota, Metazoa, Chordata, Aves, Passeriformes, Passeridae. The record is from RefSeq and is a predicted model, not a curated record.